Molecule: long non-coding RNA, 937 nt
Organism: Alosa sapidissima (American shad)
Lineage: Eukaryota; Metazoa; Chordata; Actinopteri; Clupeiformes; Clupeidae
Exons: 4
Source: RefSeq, a predicted model, not a curated record
AUAAUCAACAGUGUGUAUUUUCUUUGCCUCCCCUUUCGAAUGCAACAUUCAAAUUACUAGACAAAAAAUAUAUCCAGAGGAAAGUGGAUAUUGAGGGGUACAGCUCCAUAGACCUCCAUGCAUUCUGCGCUUGCUUGUGAGCGCCCUCACAUGGAAUCUAGGAACUGCAACCAGUCCAGAAACCGGAAGUAACCAGACAGUGCCAAUUCUCUUCCUAUUACAUUCUCAUACAUAUUGUUUGCACUGCACUACCUGUCUAUACUGUUAACAUGGCACUUUUCUGCUGGUUUGCAGUUCUGGUCAGAAGCUAACUGCAUUUCGUUGUCUCUGUACUUGUACUCUACACAAUGACAAUAAAGUGGAAUCUAAUUGGGGACAGGUCGAUGUGAAGGGCUCAUCAAUCUUGGUAACAGAGAUUGCAUCUGGACUCCUGCUAUGAACGUUUCCAUCCCAUUCAAUGAAACCCAAGGCGCCAUGUCAAAUUUUUCUUUUCGGACUUUUGAUCCAGAGGGGGUCUUAUUCUAUGGGGAAGUGAUGGGGAAGACUGGUUUGUCCUCCUUCUACGGCAUGGUGUUCCAGAGAUGCAGAUUGGACAGGGAGACUAGUUGGUCUCCGUGGCAGGUGGCCGCAAACUAAACAAUGGCAUCUGGCAUAGGAUCUUCCUGGGGUUGAUCCAGAGGACGAGAGGAUCAUCAUAACUGUAAAUCCAUCUUCUGGACCAUACUCUCCUUACGGUCACUUCAGUCCCAUUCAACAGUCUUGAGCCUGGCUGAGGACAUGGACUCUGGGAUGAUGAUUUUCAUAUUAAACACAGAAUCCACUCCCAUAACUUUGAAGUUUGAUAAGGACUUCAAUUCCUUUAAUGUGAUAAUCGAAAAAACCUCAGUGGCCUUUGCAAGAAAACCUGAUUCAAGUGAAUCUGAGCAGCAGUUAAACA